AAAACACAGGUGCUGCAUGGCUGUCGUCAGCUCGUGUCGUGAGAUGUUGGGUUAAGUCCGCAACGAGCGCAACCCUCACUUUUAGUUGCCAUCAUUAAGUUGGGCACUCUGAAAGAACUGCCAGUGAUAAGCUGGAGGAAGGUGGGGAUGACGUCAAGUCCUCAUGGCCCUUACGUGUUGGGCUACACACGUGCUACAAUGGUAUCUACAACAGGAAGCAAGACGGCGACGUUAAGCAAAUCCUUAAAAGAUACCUCAGUUCGGAUUGCACUCUGCAACUCGAGUGCAUGAAGCUGGAAUUACUAGUAAUCGUGGAUCAGCGUGC
Molecule: ribosomal RNA, 325 nt
Filed under: uncultured Alphaproteobacteria bacterium
Lineage: Bacteria; Pseudomonadati; Pseudomonadota; Alphaproteobacteria
Description: bacterial SSU rRNA
Rfam family: Bacterial small subunit ribosomal RNA
Source: RNAcentral